AUGAAGAAAAUUAAUGUCGACAAAUAUUUGAUAUCAGCAUUGGUCGAGCGUUGGCGGCCUGAGACAAAUAGUUUUCAUUUACCUGUAGGAGAAAUGACCGUUACACUACAAGAUGUGAGUUGUUUGUGGGGGUUGCCUAUCCAUGGUAAACCGAUUAUUGGCAAAGCUGAUGCUACAUGGUCUGGAUUGAUUGAGAGGUUGCUUGGGAUUCCCAUAGAUGAACAACACAUGAAGCAAAAGAGAAAGCGGGGAGAUGAUGACAAUAUUGCUGUGAAGAAUUCACAAUACUCUUUAAAUUUAGGUAAAUUGCGAGAGCGCUUCCAGGUGGUGCCGGAUAAUCCAGUGGAUCGAGAGAUUCAUUGGCAUGCUCGAGCAAUUGUUCUAGAAAUCCUUGGCUCCACGGUGUUCACUGAUACAUCUGGAGAUGGAGUGCCAACUAUGUAUCUUCAGUGA
This 453-nucleotide ribosomal RNA is filed under the name Triticum aestivum (bread wheat). RNAcentral's name for it is "partial small subunit ribosomal RNA". The record is from RNAcentral. Lineage: Eukaryota; Viridiplantae; Streptophyta; Magnoliopsida; Poales; Poaceae.